This 508-nucleotide long non-coding RNA is filed under the name Chinchilla lanigera (long-tailed chinchilla). Its description in RNAcentral is "lncRNA (ENSCLAG00000025100.1)". Lineage: Eukaryota; Metazoa; Chordata; Mammalia; Rodentia; Chinchillidae. The record is from RNAcentral.
CAUGUUCCAAAAAUUGGCACUUAGCUCUAGAAUGAGCUAAUUAGUCCGGAAGGUUUUGUUUGUUUGUUUUGUCCUUGCUACCUUUAAUGCCUGCCCUUGGAGAAAAGGCAGACAGCAAACACUUGGAAACCUAUGACACUCCAGACUGACCUCCAUGCUCUUUGUGGGCAUAAAAAAACUGUUUGGUAAUUAAUUAUUCAAAAUCUUUCUUUAUAGGACGCAUUGUUGUCAAAGAUUUGACAAAUACUGGUUGCCCUUCUUUAGGAACUGUCUAAUUGCAGAAGCAGAGAGCAGGAGGAAUAUAGGAAACCUGUGGACUGUGGUGGAGGAGAGAGAAGCCCUGAACAGGUUCCACACGCGGGGUGUCAGCUUGUCCCGGGCGCAGCUCUGCAGCCCUACCCCGUGCACAGACAGUCUCCGAUGCUCUCUCAGGGACUGAACCCCACUCGCACCGCACUCUUUCGAUGCCUCACCUUGUGGGAGAGAAGUGCAAGCAGAACAGCAACAC